RNAcentral lists this long non-coding RNA (336 nucleotides) under Elaeis guineensis (African oil palm). Its description in RNAcentral is "long non-coding RNA (EGUI_LNC072993)". The record is from RNAcentral. Lineage: Eukaryota; Viridiplantae; Streptophyta; Magnoliopsida; Arecales; Arecaceae.
CUGUGAGUUUUCUAAGAGUGUCUCAUAUCUAAAACUCCUUCUCCUACUUCUCAUUUUUGAAAAAGUCUAAAUCAAGAAGAAAGAGGUAUCUGAUCGACCAUCGAAGAAGCAUCAGCACAGUACUAGCAUACUGUGCUGAUUUUCUGGACCAGGACUUCUGAUCGUGAUUCGUGGGCUCGUGUGGAUGACUCCUAGAGGUCGGACGUAUGUGUGGCUUGCAACAUCAUCCUCAAGUCCAGAUCAACAAAGUUAGAAUGUCUAACUUGCAAGAUAAUAGAUCUGAUCUAUUAUAUUUUACAUAUAUUAGAUGUAGUAUAGAAACAUGUUGAUAUGAUC